AGUCGAACGGCAGCACGGGUGCUUGCACCUGGUGGCGAGUGGCGAACGGGUGAGUAAUACAUCGGAACAUGUCCUGUAGUGGGGGAUAGCCCGGCGAAAGCCGGAUUAAUACCGCAUACGAUCUAUGGAUGAAAGCGGGGGACCUUCGGGCCUCGCGCUAUAGGGUUGGCCGAUGGCUGAUUAGCUAGUUGGUGGGGUAAAGGCCUACCAAGGCGACGAUCAGUAGCUGGUCUGAGAGGACGACCAGCCACACUGGGACUGAGACACGGCCCAGACUCCUACGGGAGGCAGCAGUGGGGAAUUUUGGACAAUGGGCGAAAGCCUGAUCCAGCAAUGCCGCGUGUGUGAAGAAGGCCUUCGGGUUGUAAAGCACUUUUGUCCGGAAAGAAAUCCUUGGUUCUAAUAUAGCCGGGGGAUGACGGUACCGGAAGAAUAAGCACCGGCUAACUACGUGCCAGCAGCCGCGGUAAUACGUAGGGUGCGAGCGUUAAUCGGAAUUACUGGGCGUAAAGCGUGCGCAGGCGGUUUGCUAAGACCGAUGUGAAAUCCCCGGGCUCAACCUGGGAACUACAUUGGUGACUGGCAGGCUAGAGUAUGGCAGAGGGGGGUAGAAUUCCACGUGUAGCAGUGAAAUGCGUAGAGAUGUGGAGGAAUACCGAUGGCGAAGGCAGCCCCCUGGGCCAAUACUGACGCUCAUGCACGAAAGCGUGGGGAGCAAAC
RNAcentral lists this ribosomal RNA (720 nucleotides) under uncultured beta proteobacterium. Its description in RNAcentral is "bacterial SSU rRNA". It matches the Rfam family "Bacterial small subunit ribosomal RNA", at positions 60 to 773 of the family's 1533-position model. Lineage: Bacteria; Pseudomonadati; Pseudomonadota; Betaproteobacteria. The record is from RNAcentral.